RNAcentral lists this transfer RNA (72 nucleotides) under Camelus bactrianus (Bactrian camel). It matches the Rfam family "tRNA". Rfam says of the family: Transfer RNA (tRNA) molecules are approximately 80 nucleotides in length. Their secondary structure includes four short double-helical elements and three loops (D, anti-codon, and T loops). Lineage: Eukaryota; Metazoa; Chordata; Mammalia; Artiodactyla; Camelidae. The record is from Rfam by way of RNAcentral. RNAcentral also lists the same sequence under 1 other name.
GAAAGUAUAGCUCAGUGGUAGAGUGUGUGCUUAGCAUGCACAAGGUCCUGGGUUCAAUCCUCAAUACCUCCA